Molecule: ribosomal RNA, 156 nt
Filed under: Spinacia oleracea (spinach)
Lineage: Eukaryota; Viridiplantae; Streptophyta; Magnoliopsida; Caryophyllales; Amaranthaceae
Description: 5.8S ribosomal RNA
Rfam family: 5.8S ribosomal RNA
About the family: 5.8S ribosomal RNA (5.8S rRNA) is a component of the large subunit of the eukaryotic ribosome. It is transcribed by RNA polymerase I as part of the 45S precursor that also contains 18S and 28S rRNA.
Source: Rfam by way of RNAcentral
GACUCUCGGCAACGGAUAUCUCGGCUCUCGCAUCGAUGAAGAACGUAGCGAAAUGCGAUACUUGGUGUGAAUUGCAGAAUCCCGUGAACCAUCGAGUCUUUGAACGCAAGUUGCGCCCGAAGCCUUCUGGCCGAGGGCACGCCUGCCUGGGCGUCA